CCUACGGGAGGCAGCAGUAGGGAAUCUUGCGCAAUGGGCGAAAGCCUGACGCAGCGACGCCGCGUGAGCGAUGAAGGCCUUCGGGUUGUAAAGCUCUGUGGGGAGGGAAGAAUAAGGUAUGGCUAAUAUCCAUACUGAUGACGGUACCUCCUUAGCAAGCACCGGCUAACUCUGUGCCAGCAGCCGCGGUAAGACAGAGGGUGCAAACGUUGUUCGGAAUUACUGGGCGUAAAGCGCGUGUAGGCGGCUAUGCAAGUCGGACGUGAAAUCCCACGGCUCAACCGUGGAAGUGCGCUCGAAACUGCGUAGCUAGAGUCCUGGAGAGGAAGGUGGAAUGCUUGGUGUAGAGGUGAAAUUCGUAGAUAUCAAGCGGAACACCGGUGGCGAAGGCGGCCUUCUGGACAGUGACUGACGCUGAGACGCGAAAGCGUGGGGAGCAA
This 440-nucleotide ribosomal RNA is filed under the name uncultured bacterium. RNAcentral's name for it is "bacterial SSU rRNA". It matches the Rfam family "Bacterial small subunit ribosomal RNA", at positions 338 to 771 of the family's 1533-position model. The record is from RNAcentral.